This is a long non-coding RNA of Epinephelus fuscoguttatus (brown-marbled grouper), 294 nucleotides long. RefSeq lists it as uncharacterized. NCBI's taxonomy places the organism in Eukaryota, Metazoa, Chordata, Actinopteri, Perciformes, Serranidae. The record is from RefSeq and is a predicted model, not a curated record. The transcript has 3 exons.
CGCUGUAUGUCCUCACUUCUGAGAAAAACCAUGAAAAGAAGAAGCUGAUUGGUUCAUCAGUGGGGCUCAGAGGGUAUUUAAACAUCCUUAAAUCCUGCACCUGAACCCCUGAAUGCCUGCUGACCAGACCAGGUCCUCUACAUGGACAAACAUGGGGUUGUUAGCUGUAAUCUUUUCAGCUUUUCUGCUGAGUGGAUUUUGCAAAGCAGGAACAGCCACAUUAGCAUCACAGUCCACAGGCACCUGCUGGGUCAUGGGCACUCUCCACUCCACCUUUGACAGUCAUCGAUACAC